Molecule: long non-coding RNA, 457 nt
Filed under: Homo sapiens (human)
Lineage: Eukaryota; Metazoa; Chordata; Mammalia; Primates; Hominidae
Description: HSALNT0323611
Source: RNAcentral
CUGGCAGCUGAGCCCUCUUCGUCAGGAGUUCUCAAUGGCCCCCAAGGUGCCUUUGUUUCCUCAAGGGGUUUUCAUAGCAUCCUCAGCUGUGGCAAUGUAUCGCAUCCUGUAUUACCUUCCCCUGACCUCAUAGCUUCCCAAAACAGGAACAAUCAUGGGCUUUGAAGUUACAGGAAUGCAGAUGUGAUUCCUAUGGAUGAGGGUAACCUAGAGGCUAGAAGAACAAUAGGACAGAAGAAGCCUGGGUCCCUGAACAACCUUGUGGAGCAUAGACACCUACGUGGCCUGGACUGCCAGCUCACAAUGGGCCUCUCUGUGAGAGAAGGAAACUUCCCUCUUGUUUAAGCAACUGUGCUUUUGAGAAUCUCUUGGUCUAUACCCUAAUGAAUAAGGCCAUCAUAAAUGGAUAUCAAAGUAAGGAAAUUUGUGUAAAUGAUUUAAUAAAACAUUACCUCAG